Esox lucius (northern pike) is the source of this 1815-nucleotide long non-coding RNA. NCBI's taxonomy places the organism in Eukaryota, Metazoa, Chordata, Actinopteri, Esociformes, Esocidae. The record is from Ensembl.
UGCGGUUACACAUUAUCAGCACUCAUUUAUUUCAUAAAUUAAAAUAAAAGUCACACUUUUAUUGUGGUGAGGCAUAACAACAGCAGGUACAGUAGUGAGGCAUAACAACAGCAGGUACAGUAGUGAGGCAUUACAACACCUUGUAUAGAGGUGUGACAUAACAGCUAGCACAGUGGUGAGGCAUAACAACAUCUAGUAUCUGCUUGUAGUGAGGAAUAACACAAGCUGGUGGAGAAUUUACGUUUAGAUUAAAAGUCCUUGCUCACCAUGCUUUCCAGAUGAGGACAGUUUGUGACCACUGGAGAAGACUCUGAUAGAGAAAUUGCCCACUCCCAGGUGAAAUGAAUAUAAUCAUAUUCAUAUAAUCACUAAUGCCUCAAAGCUGGUAGGGUGCAGAUUCUGACUUCCUUAUGUAAACUGCUAGAGUAAACACAGACUUCCAUAAGUCCUGACCUGUCCAGUUCAGUCCUGCAUUCUGCUCAGACUUGAAACCCGAAGGUUUCACUUCAUCCCUGUUUUAUCCAUUCCUUGUCUCAUGUUACAGACAUGCACCUCUUCAGCCCCCUUUCCAUGUCACAAUGCUGAUGAAUCUGGCUGAAUGGGCGCUCAGCAUAUGGAACCGGGGAGGUGCGGAGCCAGCCAUCGGCAGCAUUCAUGAGGUUCGGCAUGAUGUCAGGGACCACACACUGCUCCACCAGGAACACCACUGGGAAAACAACCAAUAGCAGGGCCCAGCCCAGGGCGCCAAGCCAAUAGGAGGAACCCAGGCUGGUGAUGUCACUACUGAUUUCCAUCCAAUGCUGGUAGGUGAAGAUGGACCAGCUGAGGAGGAAGAAGAAACCUGAAGAGAAACAGAGGGAGGAUGACAGAAAAGCAAUCACUCAGGUUAUCACUUGGGAACUAGACUCCACUCGAAAAAAGCUCUCCAGGCAAUCUAAGAAAUACAUACAUGUAAAAUGACCCGCGUAAACAAACUCCUCCCACAAAAGGCAGUGGGCAGAAGGAAAAAUUCACACAAGCAAUGAAACGUGAACAAAUGUACUGUUUAAAGUUAAAUCUUACAGACACACCGGUGGACACAGAGAGAUACAUCAGAUGUAUAUAGUCAGAAACACAUGGAUGCUCUUCAUCAGCUGCAGCUGAAAUCCGAGCUUUUGUUACAGUACUUCAUAAUGGCACAAUGUCCAUGCUUUGUGUCCCAUCUUACUGACCUGUGGGUCCAAGAGUGAGGAGCAGCAGGACAGUCGGGUUGAGUGCCUGGCCUGCCAUGAGCAAAGAGCGAUUGUUGGAGAAGGAGCGCACGGUCUGAGAUGUCCAGCAGAGGGCGAACAUAAGACACAGAGCUCCUGAACUCAGAGCCAUGAGGAAGGACAGCACAGCAAAUACUUGCUCUGCCUCUAGAGCUGCGUGGACGCACACACAAACACACACACACACACACACACACACACAGAGAGAGAGAAACAGUGAUUUUGUCAGCAGUGAUAAAUGAUUUCACAGUGACUUGUUAUAAUAUCAGCCUUGGAUAUUGUUUCUCCUUUCUUCAUGUACUGGACAUUUCCUCAGUGUUUGUCAUACGGUGUGUCAGUUUUUCAAACAGUAUUUCUGAAGACCUCGGAAAGAGUUCUGAGUAAUGCGGGAAUGGAACUCUCCCUUUUAGCAGUAUAACUGGCUCAUACUAGAGAGUUCAUGUCAUAAUCUGUCUAUGUUAUCAGGCCAAAUAUUGGUCGAACAUAGCAAAGUGAGAACAAUAACUACAGGCUGUCAUUUGCUCGAAAACAGCAACUGUUCGAGGUCUCAAUAAUGAUUAUGAAA